RNAcentral lists this ribosomal RNA (499 nucleotides) under uncultured bacterium. RNAcentral's name for it is "partial 16S ribosomal RNA". It matches the Rfam family "Bacterial small subunit ribosomal RNA", at positions 28 to 507 of the family's 1533-position model. The record is from RNAcentral.
GAUGAACGCUGGCGGCGUGCCUAAUACAUGCAAGUCGAGCGAACAGACGAGAGUGCUUGCACUCUCUGACGUUAGCGGCGGACGGGUGAGUAACACGUGGGUAACCUACCUAUAAAACUGGGAUAACUUCGGGAAACCGGAGCUAAUACCGGAUAAUAUUUAGCUUCGCAUGAAGCAAUAGUGAAAGACGGUUCUGCUGUCACUUAUAGAUGGACCCGCGGUGUAUUAGCUAGUUGGUGAGGUAACGGCUCACCAAGGCAACGAUACAUAGCCGACCUGAGAGGGUGAUCGGCCACACUGGGACUGAGACACGGCCCAGACUCCUACGGGAGGCAGCAGUAGGGAAUCUUCCGCAAUGGACGAAAGUCUGACGGAGCAAUGCCGCGUGAGUGAAGAAGGUUUUCGGAUCGUAAAACUCUGUUGUAAGGGAAGAACAAGUACGUUAGUAACUGAACGUACCUUGACGGUACCUUACCAGAAAGCCACGGCUAACUACGUG